UCUUCAUUACGCGUGCUCUCUCGCCGGUCAGAGAGACGAGAGAGCGGGUGAAAUGGAGAGA
Molecule: microRNA precursor, 61 nt
Filed under: Pristionchus pacificus
Lineage: Eukaryota; Metazoa; Nematoda; Chromadorea; Rhabditida; Neodiplogasteridae
Description: mir-8364 microRNA precursor family
Rfam family: mir-8364 microRNA precursor family
Source: Rfam by way of RNAcentral